Molecule: ribosomal RNA, 497 nt
Filed under: uncultured bacterium
Lineage: Bacteria
Description: partial 16S ribosomal RNA
Rfam family: Bacterial small subunit ribosomal RNA
Source: RNAcentral
GAUGAACGCUGGCGGCGUGCCUAAUACAUGCAAGUCGAGCGAACAGAUGAGGAGCUUGCUCCUCUGACGUUAGCGGCGGACGGGUGAGUAACACGUGGAUAACCUACCUAUAAGACUGGGAUAACUUCGGGAAACCGGAGCUAAUACCGGAUAAUAUAUUGAACCGCAUGGUUCAAUAGUGAAAGACGGUUUUGCUGUCACUUAUAGAUGGAUCCGCGCCGCAUUAGCUAGUUGGUAAGGUAACGGCUUACCAAGGCGACGAUGCGUAGCCGACCUGAGAGGGUGAUCGGCCACACUGGAACUGAGACACGGUCCAGACUCCUACGGGAGGCAGCAGUAGGGAAUCUUCCGCAAUGGGCGAAAGCUUGACGGAGCAACGCCGCGUGAGUGAUGAAGGUCUUCGGAUCGUAAAACUCUGUUAUUAGGGAAGAACAAAUGUGUAAGUAACUAUGCACGUCUUGACGGUACCUAAUCACAAAGCCACGGCUAACUACGUG